AGCGAACGCUGGCGGCAGGCCUAACACAUGCAAGUCGAACGAACUCUUCGGAGUUAGUGGCGGUCGGGUGGGGAACACGGGGGAACGUGCCUUUAGGUUCGGUGUACCUCAGGGUAACUUGAGCUAAUACCGGUGGUGCCCUUCGGGGGUAGGAUUUAUGGCCUUUAGAGCGGCCCGCGUCUGAUUCGCUGGUUGGUGAGGUAAACGCACACCAAGGCGUCGUUCAGUAGCUGGUCUGUGAGGAGGACAAGCCACAAUUGGACUGCGACACGGCCCAAUCUGCGACGCGGGGGUGCAGUGGGGUAUCUUGCGCAAUGGGCGAAAGCCUGACGCAGCCACGCCGGGUGAAUGAUGAAGGUCUUAGGAUUGUACAAUCCUUUCUCAGGAGACGAUAAUGACGGUACUCGGAGAAGAAGCCCCGGCUAACUUCGUG
This 433-nucleotide ribosomal RNA is filed under the name uncultured bacterium. RNAcentral's name for it is "partial 16S ribosomal RNA". It matches the Rfam family "Bacterial small subunit ribosomal RNA", at positions 29 to 507 of the family's 1533-position model. The record is from RNAcentral.